AGGCAGCAGGCGCGCAAAUUACCCAUUUCAGACUCUGAGAGGUAGUGACGAGAAAUACCGAUGCCGGGCCUCGACGGGCGCCGACAAUCGAAAUGAGCGCAGCUCAAAACACUGAUGUCGUUCCGUUCAACGGUCGGGCGUCGCGAGGCGUCGCGGCCGCUUGGACGUGUGUCGUGCAAGUAUCGAUCGGAGGGCAAGUCUGGUGCCAGCAGCCGCGGUAAUUCCAGCUCCGAAAGCGUAUGCUCAUGCUGUUGCGGUUGAAAAGCUCGUAGUUGGAAAUAAGCUUUUCGCCGUUCGCGCGCCGGCCGCGAGGCCGCGCGUCGCGAUCGAAACGAAAGAUGGUGAAGUUCGGCGGGCGCGUUCCGAGAGGGCGCGUCCGCGCGAGUUCGAACGCGGACGGCCGGCGUGGCUCCCAUCUCGAUGGAAGUUGCACGUCGAGAGUCGUUCGCAAGUUGCCCUGAAGAAAUUGAAGCGAUCAGGGCGGGUCGACGCUAAGCAAAGACUCGGGCCGCGAGGUUCGAAGUCGACCGAGAACAGUCGUGCAUGGUACAACGGAAGACGGCCGCGGCUCUGCCGCCGGCGUCGAGAUAUGUGCGCGUGGCAAUGAUCAAGAGGGACGGACGGGGGCAUUCGUACUGUGCCGGGAGGGGUGAAAUCCGUGGAUCGGCGCAAGACGAACAGAAGCGAAAGCGUCUGCCAAGGACGUUUUCCUUAAUCAAGAGCGAAAGUCGGAGGUCGAAGACGAUCAGAUACCGUCGUAGUUCCGACCGUAAACGAUGCCGACCGCAUGGUCGCCCACGUAUUCAAAGAUCUCACUCGCGUCGCGCGCCUGUGGCGUCGGUGCUCGCGCGUCUUCGGACGGUCGGCGAGGCCGCGCGUCGCGGCCCGGCCGAGGGAUCGGGCAUGUCGGGGUGGCCGUGCCGGGAGGGAAACCGGAGUCUUCGGGUUCCGGGGGAAGUAUGGUUGCAAAGCUGAAACUUGAAGGAAUUGACGGAAGGGCACCACCAGGAGUGGAGCCUGCGGCUUAAUUUGACUCAACGCGGGGAAACUCACCCGGCCCGGACGUUACGAGGAUUGACAGAUUGAAAGCUCUUUCUCGAUUUAGCGGAUGGUGGUGCAUGGCCGUUCUUAGUUCGUGGAACGAUUCGUCUGGUUGAUUCCGAUAACGAACGAGACUCGAAUUUGCUCAUGUAUGCGGGCCCGAUGCUGUGCGUCGUGCGGCUUCGUGCGCGCGUUCGCUUCGGCGUGCGCGCGUGUCGGACCGCUCGUCGCCAGGUUGUGCGAUCGGGUCGCGUUCGCGGCGGCGAAGGUCGCGCGCGACGCGAAAGUAUUCUCAGAAGGACCGGCGGCGGUUAAGCCGCACGAGAUCGAGCGAUAACAGGUCUGUGAUGCCCUUCGAUGUUC
Molecule: ribosomal RNA, 1404 nt
Filed under: Didemnum sp. CA_5.11
Lineage: Eukaryota; Metazoa; Chordata; Ascidiacea; Aplousobranchia; Didemnidae
Description: partial 18S ribosomal RNA
Rfam family: Eukaryotic small subunit ribosomal RNA
Source: RNAcentral